Non-coding RNA from Cyanistes caeruleus (blue tit), 2003 nucleotides. The record is from RefSeq and is a predicted model, not a curated record. NCBI's taxonomy places the organism in Eukaryota, Metazoa, Chordata, Aves, Passeriformes, Paridae.
CCCGAGGUACUCAGCACCUCACCACUCCCUCUUCAGAGCCCCAAAAAAGGGAUGGGUUAUCAGGAAAAAAGGGGUUUAAGCUGAGGGAAAAAGCUUCCUUUUCCACAAUUGCCUGUGUUCAAAUUGAAGAGGAAUCCACUUUCCCUGCAAUUUUAAUAGUCUCAAUGGGAGGUAACUGUGCUUUUUCUGUGCUGUUAGAGGUAUCAACUGACAGAGACUGUCCAUUUUCUAUUUUUUCCCACUUUAAGUGGAACGGGAAAGCAUGGAUGAUGCUUCCUUAUGGAUCUGAAUUAAGGGGAAAAUGCCCCCUUUUCCAUCACCAGAGAGAUUUAAAGUGAGGAAAACUACUUUUUUCCCCAAUAUCUGAGGGGUUUAAAUUAAAGGGGAGAAGCCAUUUAUUUACCACUGUAUUUGUUUAAAUGGAGUUAGCUGUCCCGUUUGCUCAUUUUAAGCGUUGCCUUUUCCAGCAUUUCAAGGGUUUAAAGCUGCAUUUCAGGGCACUUCUACCCACACCCUGGCACCAAAUAUCUGCGACGGGAGCGAGGCCAGCAGGAGAAUUUCCAGAAGUUCUAGGUCACAUCAAGUGCGAUACUUCAGAUUCUCUCAGCAGAUUCAUCGUAACACAAAAGGGAACCGCCCCCGCAGCAGCUUUCCUUAGCAGCGGAUCGUCCCCUCGCACAGAUUCACUUCAGAGAGAUAAGACGAGGGCUGUGGUCACAGAGGGGAUAAAAACAGGGCGGUGGGCCCUCCCAGGAGCUUAUAAGAAACCCCAGCUCCUUCUGUUCAUCUCCCAUCUUUGCGUUCCUCGGCCCGGCACCGGCGAAGCUUCUAUGCGGGAGUUCGGACAGGCGUCAGAAUCGCAUCUGUCUUUAGAAGCGUGUGAUCGGAUGUUUUUUUAGGUCUCGUUCUCAGCUGUGUCAACAGCUAUAUGCAGCAGUGUUUCUUUACAGUGGAUAAGGACUUGUGCCGAUUCAAAGGCAGGCAGAGGCUUCCAGCCACAGGAUUCUCAGGCAUCUGUCUCUGCGGUUCUUGGAAAACAGUUGUUCCGUUAGCAUCUUUUCCCUCCAGGGUCAUCUGAUCCCGGCAGGCUCGCCUCGGGUCCCUCCUCGGUCAUCUCGUUCAGCAUUCUCUCGGUCCUCGUCAGGACUUUCUUGUCUCAGAGAGUUUUCUCUCCCUGUCACGUCCCCUCGUGUCACGGGUGUCUGGGGGUAUUUGGUCCGGAGCUGCUCUGCCCUGGCGCCCAGCCCGGUUGUAGGUGUUUAAGGACAAGUCCCGGGCACUUGUAAUUGGAGAUUUGUAAUACGGGCUGUAGUUGGAGUCUAGCUGGUAUUCUUAUGUUGGCAGCAGGUGUCUGGAGCUGUGAAGUUACCCUGCAGCACUUUGACUUUUUUCCUAACUUUCUUUCAGAUUCAGACAGAUUGACCUCCUGGCAGAACACCUGUCCCAGAUGAGGGGGUCCCCCUGAGAAGGAAGUAAAGCUGGAAAGCAGCGGGGAAGGCAAAGCAGGUGGGAGGCUGCCUCCUGAUGCUGUGCUGAGGCCCCCUCACUGACCUGCCAAGAGACCCGGUUUGCUUCUCUGGCGUACCCUGCGACGAUGGCAUCCGCCUAGGAGCGUGGCUGAAGCGUGCGGCCGGAGGACCCGGGAGUUCCUAAGAGCUGGUGAUGACACUUGUCUGAGACAACAGCCCGGUGAGAGAAGAAGUUCCCAGACAGCGAGGUGGCUUUGUUUGGCUCCUGACCGGCCUCUCGCCGUGACUCACAUCUUCAGCCCUCUGAGAGAUAAGUGGAGCCCACAGAGGGGAUCAAAGCAGGGCGGCGGUCGGGACUGAGAUCGGUUUGGGUUUUUGAGUGAGCUUUGGGGAUGGGGAGGUUCUGGAAAUGACCCCAUAGGCCCCAGUGAGGGAAAGCCUCACUUUGGUUAACAAUGCUGAGGCAGGCAGGGCAGAGCAGUCCCAGGGUGUGUUGUCACUUGUCUCUCGUGCCUUCUGUGUCUUAUGUGCAUC